RNAcentral lists this unclassified non-coding RNA (334 nucleotides) under uncultured Ascomycota. RNAcentral describes it as "sequence contains ITS1". The stretch from base 1 to 105 matches the Rfam family "5.8S ribosomal RNA", at positions 50 to 154 of the family's 154-position model. The record is from RNAcentral. Lineage: Eukaryota; Fungi; Ascomycota.
GAAAUGCGAUAAGUAAUGUGAAUUGCAGAGUUUUGUGAAUCAUCGAAUCUUUGAACGCACAUUGCGCCCCUCGGUAUUCCGACGGGCAUGCCUGUCCGAGCGUCGUUUGCAACCCAUCGAGUAACACUUCUCGGUCUUGGGCGCCGUCCGCCCCCUCUGGGGGAUCGGACGGGCCCCAAAGCCCUCGGCGGCCCCGGGUGCCCGCUGGAGCGUCUUCGAAAGCAAUCGCUCCGGUGCGCGCGCCCCGGGACCACGCCGGCACCGCGGCCUCCCCGGCCGCACCCCACACCAAACGUCUGACCUCGGAUCAGGUAGGGCUACCCGCUGAACUUAA